RNAcentral lists this unclassified non-coding RNA (645 nucleotides) under uncultured Prochlorococcus sp. RNAcentral describes it as "partial 16S-23S ribosomal RNA intergenic spacer; may also contain 16S ribosomal RNA and 23S ribosomal RNA". The stretch from base 302 to 374 matches the Rfam family "tRNA". Lineage: Bacteria; Bacillati; Cyanobacteriota; Cyanophyceae; Synechococcales; Prochlorococcaceae. The record is from RNAcentral.
UUGUGGAGGAGGACGCCGAAGGUGGGGCUAAUGACUGGGGUGAAGUCGUAACAAGGUAGCCGUACCGGAAGGUGCGGCUGGAUCACCUCCUAACAGGGAGACAACAAAACGUUUAAUAUUAUUUUGUCACCUUAGGUCGAUCGGUAUCUCACUUUCUUAAUUUAUUAAGAAUUUCAUUUCCUAAGUUUUUCUAGGUCACACCCAUUAUUUUUCCUGGGCCAUUAGCUCAGGUGGUUAGAGCGCACCCCUGAUAAGGGUGAGGUCCCUGGUUCAAGUCCAGGAUGGCCCAUAUCUCUAUGUUGGGGGUAUAGCUCAGUUGGUAGAGCGCCUGCUUUGCAAGCAGGAUGUCAGCGGUUCGAGUCCGCUUACCUCCACUGAUUACCACCUCUUCCAUAAAUCUGAAGAAAGGAAAAAUUUUGAGUUGUGAUAAAAAUUCUGAACGAAUCUAGCUUCCUAAUGAAAUCAUUAAGAUGCUGGACUCAUUGAAUUAAUUUCAUUGCUUUCAGAGAACCUUGACAACUGCAUAGAUUAUUUUUAAAGACAAUAAGCAUCUUUAAUGAUGCAGAUUUAUUAUUUGUGCAAAUGCAUUAAUAACAAUUCUAUUAAGCUGAUGCUUCAAAUUUGAAGUUAUUGGUCAAGCUACAA